Hordeum vulgare subsp. vulgare (domesticated barley) is the source of this 136-nucleotide non-coding RNA. NCBI's taxonomy places the organism in Eukaryota, Viridiplantae, Streptophyta, Magnoliopsida, Poales, Poaceae. The record is from Rfam.
UACAUACUCCCUCCGUCCCAAAAUUCUUGUCUUAGAUUUGUCUAAAUAUAAAUGUAUCUAGUCAUGUUUUAGUAUUUAGGUACAUUCAUUUUUAGACAAAUCUAAGAGAAUAAUUUUGAGACGGAAGGAGUAUAUU